Molecule: ribosomal RNA, 1720 nt
Filed under: Endocincta punctata
Lineage: Eukaryota; Metazoa; Xenacoelomorpha; Acoela; Solenofilomorphidae
Description: SSU rRNA
Rfam family: Eukaryotic small subunit ribosomal RNA
Source: RNAcentral
AUGCACGUAUAAGUUCAGCUCCAGAAUAGCGAAACCGCGAAUGGCUCAGUAAAUCAGUCAUGAUUUAUUUGACAGCAAUAAUCUAUACUUGGAUAACUGUGGUAACUCUAGAGCUAAUACAUGCUAAUGACUCACGUCGGUCUGUAAUGGGCUGCAGGGUGUGCUUUUAUUAGUUUCAAGUCCGAUCUCCCUCUAGCAUUUGGUUGCUCCUGUGGAGGGCAUGAUGAACUCUUAAUAACCGCAGGACCAGCAUGGCUACGGCCUCUGGCGUGUCAUUCAAGUGUCUGCCCUAUCAAGUAUUGUUGGUAGUGUAUCGGACUACCAAGCUUACGACGGGUAACGGGGAAUCAGGGUUCGAUUCCGGAGAGGGAGCCUGAGAAACGGCUACCACAUCUAAGGAAGGCAGCAGCCGCGCAAAUUACCCAAUCUCAGCACGAGGAGGUAGUGACGAUAAAUAACAAUACGGGGCCUAAGGGUCUCGUCAUUGGAUUGAGCAUGAUGUAAACACUUAUGCGAUAUCUAGUAGAGGGCAAGUCUGGUGCCAGCAGCCGCGGUAAUUCCAGCUCUACAAGCGUAUACUAAUGAUGCUGCGGUUAAAAAGCUCGUAGUUGGAUCUUUAACAGGGGCGCUGUGGACAUCUACGGGUGACAUAGUGUAGACACUCCUGUUCCCCCUCUGGUUGGCGUUACUUGCACUUCAUUGUUGUGAGUUUCAGAUCCGGAGUUAGUACUUUGAAAAAAUUAGAGUGUUCAAAGCAGGUAUUCGUGAAUACUGAAGCAUGGGAUAGUAGAGCAGGGCCGCGCCCUCAAUCUACUGGUCUUCUUGGUGUGCGGAAAUGAUUAAAAGGGACAGGCGGGGGCAUUCGUAUUGUCACGUUAGAGGUGAAAUUCUUGGAUCGUGACAAGACGGACUACUGCGAAAGCAUUUGCCAAGAAUGUUUUCAUUAAUCAAGAACGAAAGUUAGAGGAUUGAAGAGGAUCAGAUACCCUCGUAGUUCUAACCAUAAACUGUGCCAACUUGCUUUCAGUCGAUGUUGCUUAUGACACGACUGGCGGCUAACGGGAAACCUAAGUGUUUGGGUUCCGGGGGAAGUAUGGUUGCAAAACUGAAACUUAAAGGAAUUGACGGAAGGGCACCACCAGGAGUGGAGCCUGCGGCUUAAUUUGACUCAACACGGGAAAACUCACUGGGUCCAGACAUAGUAAGGAUUGACAGACUGAAGCUCUUUCUUGAUCCUAUGGUUGGUGGUGCAUGGUCGUUCUUAGUUGGUGGAGUGAUUUGUCAGGUUAAUUCUGGUAACGAACGAGACCUCAGCCUGCUAACUAGCAUGACUAACUUUGGUUAUCACAUGCUUCUUAGAGGGACAGGGUUUUUUCAAGGAUCAGGAAGAGAGGUCAUAACAGGUCUGUGAUGCCCUUAGACGUCCUGGGCUGCACGCGCGCUACAAUGGGUGCAGCAGCAUGUUUUUACCUGGUCCGAAAUGGUCCAGGCAAUCACUAAUUGCACCCGUGCUUGGGAUAGAUUUUUGUUAGUAUUAGUCUUGAACGAGGAAUUCCUAGUAAGCGCAUGUCAUCAGCAUGCGUUGAUUACGUCCCUGCCCUUUGUACACACCGCCCGUCGCUACUACCGAUUGGAUGCCAAAGCCAACAACCCUGACUCUGAGGCUUGGACGCUGCAAAGCUGUCUGCCACGGACGAAGAAAAGUGAGCUUUGAUAUCUA